This 839-nucleotide ribosomal RNA is filed under the name uncultured bacterium. Its description in RNAcentral is "bacterial SSU rRNA". It matches the Rfam family "Bacterial small subunit ribosomal RNA", at positions 26 to 898 of the family's 1533-position model. The record is from RNAcentral.
ACAAUCAACGCUGGCGGCGUGCCUAACACAUGCAAGUCGAACGGGAAAGUGGAGCAAUCCAUGAGUAUAGUGGCGACCGGGUGAGUAACACGUGACUACCUGCCCUUGAGUGGGGGAUAACCUCGGGAAACCGAGGCUAAUACCGCAUAAUAUCUCAAGAUCUAAGGAGCAAUCCGCUUUUGGAGGGGGUCUAGGCUGAUUAGCUAGUUGGUAGGGUAAUGGCCUACCAAGGCAAAGAUCGGUAUCCGGCCUGAGAGGGCGCACGGACACACUGGAACUGAAACACGGUCCAGACUCCUACGGGAGGCAGCAGUGGGGAAUUUUGCGCAAUGGGGGAAACCCUGACGCAGCAACGCCGCGUGGAGGAUGAAGUCCCUCGGGACGUAAACUCCUUUCGAUCGGGACGAUAAUGACGGUACCGGAAGAAGAAGCCCCGGCUAACUUCGUGCCAGCAGCCGCGGUAAUACGAGGGGGCGAGCGUUGUUCGGAAUUAUUGGGCGUAAAGGGUGCGUAGGCGGUUUGGUAAGUCUUGUGUGAAAUCUCCGGGCUCAACUCGGAGCCUGCACGAGAAACUGCCGGGCUUGAGUGUGGGAGAGGUGAGUGGAAUUUCCGGUGUAGCGGUGAAAUGCGUAGAUAUCGGAAGGAACACCUGUGGCGAAAGCGGCUCACUGGACCACAACUGACGCUGAUGCACGAAAGCUAGGGGAGCAAACAGGAUUAGAUACCCUGGUAGUCCUAGCCCUAAACGAUGACUGCUUGGUGUGACGGGUACCCAAUCCCGCCGUGCCGUAGCUAACGCGUUAAGCAGUCCGCCUGGGGAGUACGGUCGCAAGGCUGAA